CAUUCUUUAUCCGCUAAGAAAGGCAAGGAUGGAGUAAGGUUUGGUGGGGUGGAGCGGAUGGUUGACGGGCAGUGGCCGAGUCCAAUCGGAGUGCCGCGCGCAGUCUGGUCAGCCUAUGGGACUCGGAUCCUAAAGUAAGAGGCGGGUCUCUUGGAAGUGGGAAUUAUUCGUGGGUCUACUUGAUCAGCCAAAGGGCUCGGCGGCCCUCGAGAAACGGAAGCUUGAACCUGGGACAUCUUUGUGGCACCUGAGAAUGGAGUUGGCGAAAGCAGCAUGAACAGUGUUCAUCAAGAGGAGCCACUUAGUUACCCUCGGUCUGUGGGCGGAGCCAUGCAGAUUAGGCUUCCAGGCCUCUCGGGGAGGGGUACGUUUGUGGGCGUGGCUUUGAGGGGUUUCUACGUCCUCGUUGGCUGACGACAGAGCCUCGCCGCCCUCUACGCGACACUAUUGGCUGGCAGGACAGGGAACGUGCUCGACGGCCCCCGGCAAGGACCGGUCCCCUGGACAGUCUUCAGUGGCUUCGAAAUACAGAGGAGGAACGCAGGGGCUGGGUCGCAUCCUCCCAUCUCGGGAAGCGUGGAGAGCGAGGGCUGCGAGGGACUCGUGCAACCAGCAGAAGGCGCUCCAAACUGACAGUUUGAGAACGAGGGCGAGCGCGGUGCCAACGCGCCUAUCCUGGUCUCCGCGUCUCACCCUCCACCCCUGAGUCUCUCAGGCUCUGCCUUUGCGUGGCUCUUUGGGUCUGUGACUCUCCAUCUGUUUUGCUCUACAAAUCGCCCGUUCUUGGUCUCUGGCCUCUCCCUGGACAGUUGAGUGACACCCCACACCCAGCCCCACCAGAUUUACAGAAAAGUUGUAAAGAGAGAGCAAAUACCUUGUAUUGAAGUGGAAAAAACAAAAGACAAAGCAGAGACCCACAGUUUCAAAGCUUGGCAGAGACUGACAGUCUCACGGCUGACAGGCUAAGGCCUGCCCCUCCUGCUAAAUUCACAAAGGUCACUGUGCCCAGAAGAUGAACUACUGAAACACAGCUGCCUGCCUCCCGAUGUCUUACAGAUAAACUGUAAAAGCAACAUUACCGCCGCCUCCCUACCCUUUGUUAAGUUCUGCUUCUGUAAAAUUCUGCUUGUUCCCCUGCCCUGCCUAAAGAGCAAGAUAAAAAUGAAAACAAACUUAGAAACGGGGCUCAGACUCUGGGAGGUGACUUCUGGUGGCCCCACUGGGGAAUCUGCCUGGCUUUCUUUCCCUUCAGUUCUCUGGGUGCUGCUCUCUUCCUUGGUCUGCCUGCUUCCGAGUGCCAUCUCAGUAUAACCACGGAGGAUUGAAUGAGUUCUUCAGUGGCACCAAGACGCCUUGGAAGAGGGAAUGAGAAAAGCGACUGACUCUGCCCUGAUGAAGCUGAAGACUAGACAUACAGCUCAGUGCAGCAUUUGUGGCCUAAAAUACCUGUGUGUUGUAUGUAGGGGAAGAAUUGUGUGGGGAACAUGGUUAUGGGCCCCAAGUCUGCAAUGAAUUCCAG
This 1519-nucleotide long non-coding RNA is filed under the name Heterocephalus glaber (naked mole-rat). RNAcentral describes it as "lncRNA (ENSHGLG00000037302.1)". The record is from RNAcentral. Lineage: Eukaryota; Metazoa; Chordata; Mammalia; Rodentia; Bathyergidae.